RNAcentral lists this ribosomal RNA (501 nucleotides) under uncultured bacterium. RNAcentral's name for it is "partial 16S ribosomal RNA". It matches the Rfam family "Bacterial small subunit ribosomal RNA", at positions 30 to 523 of the family's 1533-position model. The record is from RNAcentral.
AUUGAACGCUGGCGGCAGGCUUAACACAUGCAAGUCGAGCGGGGGAAGGUAGCUUGCUACCGGACCUAGCGGCGGACGGGUGAGUAAUGCUUAGGAAUCUGCCUAUUAGUGGGGGACAACAUCUCGAAAGGGAUGCUAAUACCGCAUACGUCCUACGGGAGAAAGCAGGGGAUCUUCGGACCUUGCGCUAAUAGAUGAGCCUAAGUCGGAUUAGCUAGUUGGUGGGGUAAAGGCCUACCAAGGCGACGAUCUGUAGCGGGUCUGAGAGGAUGAUCCGCCACACUGGGACUGAGACACGGCCCAGACUCCUACGGGAGGCAGCAGUGGGGAAUAUUGGACAAUGGGGGGAACCCUGAUCCAGCCAUGCCGCGUGUGUGAAGAAGGCCUUAUGGUUGUAAAGCACUUUAAGCGAGGAGGAGGCUUACCUAGUUAAUACCUGGGAUAAGUGGACGUUACUCGCAGAAUAAGCACCGGCUAACUCUGUGCCAGCCGCCGCCGUAA